UGCUGGAGAGCUCGGUUGGUAGUGCAUGAGACUCUUAAUCUCAGGAACAUGGGUUCAAGCCCCAUGUUGGGCAA
Molecule: non-coding RNA, 74 nt
Organism: Podarcis lilfordi (Lilford's wall lizard)
Lineage: Eukaryota; Metazoa; Chordata; Lepidosauria; Squamata; Lacertidae
Source: the annotation of a GenBank genome assembly